AGAUUGAACGCUAGCGGGAUGCUUUACACAUGCAAGUCGAACGGCAGCGCGGACUUCGGUCUGGCGGCGAGUGGCGAACGGGUGAGUAAUGUAUCGGAACGUGCCUAGUAGCGGGGGAUAACUACGCGAAAGCGUGGCUAAUACCGCAUACGCCCUACGGGGGAAAGGGGGGGAUCGCAAGACCUCUCACUAUUAGAGCGGCCGAUAUCAGAUUAGCUAGUUGGUGAGGUAAAGGCUCGACCAAGGCCGCGAUCUGUAGCUGGUUUGAGAGGACGACCAGCCACACGUGGGACUGAGACACGGCCCAGACUCCGUAGGGAGCAGCAGUGGGGAAUUUGGACAAGUGGGGGAAACCCUGAACUCCAGCCAUCCCGCGUGUGCGAUGGAAGGUCCGUUACGGGUUAGGUAAACGUCGUACGUUUUGGCCGUAAGGGAACGAAACGGUACUAACGUUCCGUAACGUAA
RNAcentral lists this ribosomal RNA (465 nucleotides) under uncultured soil bacterium. RNAcentral's name for it is "bacterial SSU rRNA". It matches the Rfam family "Bacterial small subunit ribosomal RNA", at positions 26 to 477 of the family's 1533-position model. The record is from RNAcentral.